UACGGAAGGUGCAAGCGUUAUCCGGUUUUAUUGGGUUUAAAGGGUGCGUAGGCGGCUUAUUAAGUCAGUUGUGAAAUCCUAGUGCUUAACGCUAGAACUGCGAUUGAUACUGGUAGGCUUGAGUCAAGAAGAGGUAGGUAGAAUUUAGGGUGUAGUAGUGAAAUGCUUAGAUAUCCUAAGGAAUACCAAUAGCGUAGGCAGCUUACUGGUCUUGUACUGACGCUGAGGCACGAAAGCAUGGGGAGCAAACAGG
RNAcentral lists this ribosomal RNA (253 nucleotides) under uncultured bacterium. RNAcentral's name for it is "partial 16S ribosomal RNA". It matches the Rfam family "Bacterial small subunit ribosomal RNA", at positions 524 to 776 of the family's 1533-position model. The record is from RNAcentral.